RNAcentral lists this ribosomal RNA (433 nucleotides) under uncultured bacterium. RNAcentral describes it as "partial 16S ribosomal RNA". It matches the Rfam family "Bacterial small subunit ribosomal RNA", at positions 36 to 507 of the family's 1533-position model. The record is from RNAcentral.
CCCUCCCUCUUUCUUCAGGCCUAACACAUGCAAGUCGAGCGAGGACUUCGGUCCUAGCGGCGGACGGGUGAGUAACGCGUGGGAACGUGCCCUUUGCUUCGGAAUAGCCCUGGGAAACUGGGAGUAAUACCGGAUGAGCCCUUUGGGGGAAAGAUUUAUCGGCGAAGGAUCGGCCCGCGUUGGAUUAGGUAGUUGGUGGGGUAAUGGCCUACCAAGCCGACGAUCCAUAGCUGGUUUGAGAGGAUGAUCAGCCACACUGGGACUGAGACACGGCCCAGACUCCUACGGGAGGCAGCAGUGGGGAAUCUUAGACAAUGGGGGAAAACCUGAUCGAGCCAUGCCGCGUGAGCGAUGAAGGCCUUAGGGUUGUAAAGCUCUUUCAGCUGGGAAGAUAAUGACGGUACCAGCAGAAGAAGCCCCGGCUAACUCCGUG